UAGCAUUAUCUUAUAGUUAGGAUAGCCUUAUGCCUAUCCCACGCAUGCUUAAACUCCUUUACUGUGUUAACCUCUACCACUUUUUUUUUUUUUUUUAAGAUUUAGCUUGUUUGAAUACCAUUUUAUUAAUUUUGUGAUUUGUCAUAAGUGCGAUGAUUAUGGCUUACAGCUCAUGAAAACCCCAAAUCCACAAUCACAGUAAAUUAGAAUAUUGUGAAAAGGUGCAAUAUUCCAGGCUCACAGUGUCCCACUCUAAUCAGUUAAGUAAGCCACAACACCUGCAAAGGGUUUCUGAGCCUUUAAAUGGUCUCUCAGUCUGGUUCAGUAGGAAUCACAAUCAUGGGGAAGACUGCUGACCUGACAGUUGUG
Pelobates cultripes (western spadefoot toad) is the source of this 369-nucleotide non-coding RNA. Lineage: Eukaryota; Metazoa; Chordata; Amphibia; Anura; Pelobatidae. The record is from the annotation of a GenBank genome assembly.